This is a non-coding RNA of Solanum lycopersicum (tomato), 705 nucleotides long. Lineage: Eukaryota; Viridiplantae; Streptophyta; Magnoliopsida; Solanales; Solanaceae. The record is from RefSeq and is a predicted model, not a curated record.
CAACUCUUCAAUUGGUAAAGAGCAUGUGGAAAUAUAUUGUGAUUGCAAUAAAAAUAUAGGUGAUUGUGAUUUUACUUUCUUGAUCGUGGAGGUUUACAUGUAAAAUAUACCGUCUUCUUUAUUUUCAGGUCUUUAGGUUUGUUCUUCGGUUCAUAGUGAAAGAACCUGGUGAGGAGCCAUGUUCUCAUUACUGUAGUGAAAACUCAUACAGGUUCAAAUACUCACAUAUUGACGUGGAAACUCCUGAAUACGAGUCCCCCAUCAAACGGCAACACAGGUGAGAACAUACAUGCUCGGAAAUGAUGUUAGAAAGUCAUUUGCUGUGAUUGCUUGGUUAUAGCAGAAAGUAACUUCUUAAAGCAAAAAUAGUUAAAUGAGACUGUUCAUUCAGCAAGUAAGUCUAGUCGUUAUACGUCCAAAUACUCAAAACCUUUACAUACUAACUCUGUAUAUAGGGAUUUGAUUCUGUUUGUUGAAUUCCUUCCCAACACUAACUGCUAUAGUCAAUCUUCAUUGAGGUGGUCAAUGAUUAAGAUUCCGCACUAACUGAUUCAGCAUUUUUGGAAUCUCUGGAUCUUUCUGCAAAUUAAUAAUAUCAUAAAGGAUAUUUUGGUUCUGAACAUUAGCUAGAAGGAUGUUGUAUCUGUCAGAAGAAAGAAAACGAUGGACUUACAUGAAUAAUAUUGUGAAAAGUGUUACCAAUUA